Long non-coding RNA from Rhineura floridana, 1713 nucleotides. RefSeq lists it as uncharacterized. The record is from RefSeq and is a predicted model, not a curated record. The transcript has 3 exons. Lineage: Eukaryota; Metazoa; Chordata; Lepidosauria; Squamata; Rhineuridae.
AUAGUGUUUGCCAGGGCCAGAGGAAAAGGUGGGUGGAGCAACAAAUGCAAGUUCUACCUUUGUACCUUAGGCUGGUUUCUACACACUCUUUCAUCCAGGCAUGCAAGUCAUUAGGAGAGCUGAAGGCCGCAUUCCAGCCAGCCAAAAACACUCAAGGAGGGUGCAAAGCAGGGCCAGCGAACGGUGUGGCCUGGGGAGAGGGAAAGGCCCUUCUCCGUGGUGGCCCCAAAUUAUGGAAUGAUCUCAUUCAACAGGGCUGUUUCUGCGACCGACAGGCUGAAGGGGUUUUCUGGCCCUGUGGAAGCUGCUGCGCUUGCUAUGCGGACCUUAGGACCGGCGGAAUCACACCGUGAAAGGGAAGCCGGGUUAAGCGAUUCCACAGAGAUUUUCCACGAGAGACCCUUCAGGUGGGGGUCAGUUCUGUGGGGUAGCACCUACCUCUCCCCCACCCAACCCCUAAGGAGGUGGGGAAGGAGGGCUACGUCACGUCCCACCCACCUAUCUACCCACCCAAGGAGACUCUCCCCCACUCACCGGCAGCCCGCGUCCGCCCGCCCCAGCGCAGACCGGAAGCACCCUGGAGCCCAGGGCAGCAAACAAAAGCACUAAAAACACUAAAACAUAACAUAUGGGAUAUGUUAUGUAGGAGCAGCCCCAAAGAGCCCCACUCCCACCACAGACGCCAGUCUGGAUGUGCCUCACUUUUCCUGAAGAGAAACUGCUGUGGAGGCCCCGGAGUGGUCACGGGCACAGCUCCGUGUUUGUCGGGUUCCUCCAAACAACGAGCGCUUCUGGUACAACUUGCCCCUCCACAUAAGCAUGAGUGCUUCAUGGGAGGUUGCUGCACUGUGUGGUGUUGCUUUCCCACCCAAGUGUCUUGACACGACUUACCGUGUAAGAAUAGAAGUAACAAGAAACAUCAAAACCAAAUGUAAGAAGAAGAAUGACACAGGAGCCUUAAAUAGUCACCCCUGGUGAAAGGCUGAGCACAAAAAGACACCCAAGACACCCCUCAUUAGCCUUCAUGAACAAAAAUGUGUUUCCCUGGCACCUCAGAACAGGCUAUGAGGGCCCUGGCAUGCCUCCCUGGGAAGAGCAUUCCACAACCAAAGAGCCACCACUGAGGCGGCCCAUUAAAAUGUGGCUACCCUCUGCACCACCCUUGAAGGGACCACACAGAGAAGGACCUCAGAUAAUGAAUGCAGGGGCUAAGUUGGCUCAUGGGGGUAAAGAGGGUCCUUGAGAUAUUGGGGGUCAUGAGACACGUAAGGCUUUAUAGGUCAAAACCAGCACUUUGAAUUGAGCCCAGUGCCAUUACUGGUGUUACAUGUCUUUCCAUGGUAGGCAGUCUGGCCGGUGAAUUCAGCUACAAUUUGUAAACCCUCUUCAAGGGCAGAAUGUGAUGUUCCUGUAUUAAUGUAUAUAUGGUAAGUGCUGUUUGUAUAGAAGAUAUGUGGUAAGUGGAAUGAAAGAGGAGGGGGGAGUAAAUGAUGAUUGGCUGAGUGUUUGGAUGGCUGAGAGUAUAAAUGGAAGGAUGACAGUUGAAUCUGGGUGGACGUGAGUGGGUUGUUUUGGUGGAGUUGGGAGGUGGGUGUGAGUUGGUGUAUGUCAGGAGAGUGUGGAGAAGGAGGGAGGUGGAGUUCGGAUUAGUAAUGUCAAAUAUCACAGUAAUAGGUGAAACCAUAAGCUUGUAGAUCAUUAUCAAAGUUAUCU